UCCUCAGAUUCAAAAUCUUCUUCAGACAUAACCAUCAAAACUGAGCUGAUGACAAAGUAAUUCUGACAAAGAGUGAAAUCUGCAACAAAGGAGACAGUUUGAACACUGGACUAACUUCACUUCAUGAGGAUUCUGCAUCACUGAACUCCUGAGAAAACAUUUCUGCUGUAAUGGAAGUGGACUUUUUUUAUUCCAUGACACAACUUGUGACUGAAACAUACACAAACGACCUCAAACAACAAAAAUGAAUCAAAUUUUUACUUUUAUGUCAUAGAAAAAAAAGAGAAUUACUAUUUUCUGUGAGAAAAGUUACUUUUUAGCCAAACUAACUUUAUUUAUAAAGUGCUUUAAAACAGCAAGUCCUGACCAAAAUACUUAACAUUAAGAACAGAA
Long non-coding RNA from Oreochromis aureus, 393 nucleotides. RefSeq lists it as uncharacterized. Lineage: Eukaryota; Metazoa; Chordata; Actinopteri; Cichliformes; Cichlidae. The record is from RefSeq and is a predicted model, not a curated record. The transcript is spliced from 3 exons.